CCUACGGGUGGCAGCAGUGAGGAAUAUUGGUCAAUGGGCGCAAGGCUGAACCAGCCAAGUCGCGUGAGGGAAGACUGCCCUAUGGGUUGUAAACCUCUUUUGUGGGGGAGGAAGAAAUGCGACGAGUAGCAUGAUGACUGUACCUUAUGAAUAAGCAUCGGCUAACUCCGUGCCAGCAGCCGCGGUAAGACGGAGGAUGCGAGCGUUAUCGGGAUUUCUGGGGGUAAAAGGGUGCGUAGGCGGUUUUUUAAGUUAGUGGGAAAACGUCGGGGCCUAACCUGGAUUUGGCAUUGAUACUGGAAGGCUCGAGUUCAGAAGAGGUAGGUGGAAUACGUGGAGUAGCGGUGAAAUGCUUAGAGA
Molecule: ribosomal RNA, 360 nt
Filed under: uncultured bacterium
Lineage: Bacteria
Description: partial 16S ribosomal RNA
Rfam family: Bacterial small subunit ribosomal RNA
Source: RNAcentral